GGUGGGAUACCCAAGUGGCUAACGGGAGCAGACUGUAAAUCUGUCGUCAUAGACUUCGAAGGUUCGAAUCCUUCUCCCACCA
RNAcentral lists this transfer RNA (82 nucleotides) under Enterobacteriaceae endosymbiont of Plateumaris pusilla. It matches the Rfam family "tRNA". From Rfam's summary of the family: Transfer RNA (tRNA) molecules are approximately 80 nucleotides in length. Their secondary structure includes four short double-helical elements and three loops (D, anti-codon, and T loops). Further hydrogen bonds mediate the characteristic L-shaped molecular structure. tRNAs have two regions of fundamental functional importance: the anti-codon, which is responsible for specific mRNA codon recognition, and the 3' end, to which the tRNAs corresponding amino acid is attached (by aminoacyl-tRNA synthetases). tRNAs cope with the degeneracy of the genetic code in two manners: having more than one tRNA (with a specific anti-codon) for a particular amino acid; and 'wobble' base-pairing, i.e. permitting non-standard base-pairing at the 3rd anti-codon position. Lineage: Bacteria; Pseudomonadati; Pseudomonadota; Gammaproteobacteria; Enterobacterales; Enterobacteriaceae. The record is from Rfam by way of RNAcentral.